This 229-nucleotide ribosomal RNA is filed under the name uncultured bacterium. Its description in RNAcentral is "partial 16S ribosomal RNA". It matches the Rfam family "Bacterial small subunit ribosomal RNA", at positions 568 to 796 of the family's 1533-position model. The record is from RNAcentral.
UGCGUAGGCGGCCUAUUAAGUCAGUGGUGAAAGGUAUCAGCUUAACUGAUGAAGUGCCAUUGAAACUAAUAGGCUUGAGUACAGACGAGGUAGGCGGAAUUUAUGGUGUAGCGGUGAAAUGCAUAGAUACCAUAAAGAACACCGAUAGCGAAGGCAGCUUACUAGACUGUAACUGACGCUGAGGCACGAAAGCGUGGGGAGCGAACAGGAUUAGAUACCCUGGUAGUCC